Cordylochernes scorpioides is the source of this 74-nucleotide non-coding RNA. The record is from the annotation of a GenBank genome assembly. NCBI's taxonomy places the organism in Eukaryota, Metazoa, Arthropoda, Arachnida, Pseudoscorpiones, Chernetidae.
UGGCCCAUGGGGGGUUCGAACCCAUGACCUUCGCGUUAUUAGCCUGACACUCUAACCAACUGAGCUAAUGGGCC